Molecule: RNase P RNA, 347 nt
Filed under: Bacillota bacterium
Lineage: Bacteria; Bacillati; Bacillota
Description: Firmicutes bacterium (anaerobic digester metagenome) RNase P RNA component class A
Rfam family: Bacterial RNase P class A
About the family: Ribonuclease P (RNase P) is a ubiquitous endoribonuclease, found in archaea, bacteria and eukarya as well as chloroplasts and mitochondria. Its best characterised activity is the generation of mature 5'-ends of tRNAs by cleaving the 5'-leader elements of precursor-tRNAs. Cellular RNase Ps are ribonucleoproteins.
Source: RNAcentral
UGCGCAGGCUGGGUGACCGCGAGCACAAUGCCGCAAGGCCGUGUUCGAGGAAAGUCCGGGCUCCGCAGGGCAAGGUGCUGGCUAACGGCCAGUGGGGGCAACCCUAAGGAAAGUGCCACAGAAAUGAAGACCGCCAUAAAAUGGCAAGGGUGCAACGGUGGAGUAAGAGCCCACCAGCGGUUAGGUGACUGACCGGCUAGGUAAACCCCACCUGGAGCAAGACCUAAUAGAAGGAAUAUGAUGCGGCCCGCAUCUUCCUUGGGUAGGUCGCUGGAGACGUCGGGCAACCGCCGUCCUAGAUAGAUGGUCACCCUCGACAGAACCCGGCUUACAGGCCUGCGCAUAAG